AAAUGUCUAGAGGGACAGCCUCGUGUCAGCCGUAACGGAGGUAGAGCACUGGAUGAGCUAGGGGCGUUCCAACGCUACCGAACUCAACCAAACUCCGAAUGCCAUCACUGGACGGACGGGAGUCAGACUACGGGCGCUAAGGUCCGUGGUCAAAAGGAGAAUAGUCCAGACCGCCAGCUAAGGUCCCGAAUCGUGAGCUAAGUGGGAAAGGUUGUAGGGUCGCUCAGACAGCCAGGAGGUUGGCUUAGAAGCAGCCAUCCUUUAAAGAGUGCGUAACAGCUCACUGGUCGAGCGAGCCUGCGCCGAAAAUGUAACGGGGCUUAAGUUCACAACCGAAGCUGCGGACUUGCAUCGCAAGAUGUGAGUGGUAGGGGAGCAUUCUCUGUGCAGCGAAGGUAGACCGACAAGGACCGCUGGAGCGCAGAGAAGAGAUUAUGCCGGCAUAAGUAGCGAUAAACGAUGUGAGAAUCAUCGUCCCCGUAAACCUAAGGUUUCCUGGCCUAUGUUCGUCAGGUCAGGGUUAGUCGGUCCCUAAGCCGAGGCCGAAAGGCGUAGGCGAUGGCAAACAGGUCAACAUUCCUGUACCAUCAUGUCCGCGUUAUCAGCGAAGGGGGGACGCAGCAGGGUAGGCACCGCCGGGUCCCUGGAAUACCCGGUCUAAGCCCGUAGGCGGAGCGUGCAGGCAAAUCCGCGCGCUCAUUCCAAACGCCGAGAGGUGAUGGGGAGGCCGCAAGGCCACAAACGGACCGAUCCCACACUGCCGAGAAAAGCCUCGUAGCGAGUUGACAUGGUGACCGUACCGCAAACCGACACAGGUAGGUGGGUGGAAUACACCAAGGGGCGUGAGAGAACACUCCCUAAGGAACUAUGCAAUCUAACCCCGUAACUUCGGAAGAAGGGGUGCCUCGCGUACGUAAGGAGAUUUACUCUCUAAGCCGAACGAGGUUGCAAUAAAGUGGCUCUAGCGACUGUUUACCAAAAACACAGGACUCUGCGAACACGCAAGUGGACGUAUAGGGUCUGACGCCUGCCCGGUGCUGGAAGGUUAACCGGAGGGGUUAGCCGCAAGGCAAAGCUCCGAAGGGAAGCCCCAGUAAACGGCGGCCGUAACUAUAACGGUCCUAAGGUAGCGAAAUUCCUUGUCGGGUAAGUUCCGACCUGCAUGAAUGGCGUAACGACUGGAGCGCUGUCUCGGGGAGUGACUCAGCGAAUUUGUUGUUCCGGUGAAGAAGCCGGGUACCCGCAACUAGACGGAAAGACCCUGUGCACCUUUACUACAACUUGCCAUUGGAUGUUGGACGGGUAUGUGUAGGAUAGGUGGGAGGCUGUGAAGCGGAGGCGCUAGCUUUCGUGGAGC
This 1357-nucleotide ribosomal RNA is filed under the name soil metagenome. Its description in RNAcentral is "bacterial LSU rRNA". It matches the Rfam family "Bacterial large subunit ribosomal RNA", at positions 862 to 2186 of the family's 2925-position model. The record is from RNAcentral.